Molecule: ribosomal RNA, 552 nt
Filed under: Delftia sp. enrichment culture clone CH2_1_7
Lineage: Bacteria; Pseudomonadati; Pseudomonadota; Betaproteobacteria; Burkholderiales; Comamonadaceae
Description: bacterial SSU rRNA
Rfam family: Bacterial small subunit ribosomal RNA
Source: RNAcentral
AACUACUCGAAAGAGUAGCUAAUACCGCAUACGAUCUGAGGAUGAAAGCGGGGGACCUUCGGGCCUCGCGCGAUUGGAGCGGCCGAUGGCAGAUUAGGUAGUUGGUGGGAUAAAAGCUUACCAAGCCGACGAUCUGUAGCUGGUCUGAGAGGACGACCAGCCACACUGGGACUGAGACACGGCCCAGACUCCUACGGGAGGCAGCAGUGGGGAAUUUUGGACAAUGGGCGAAAGCCUGAUCCAGCAAUGCCGCGUGCAGGAUGAAGGCCUUCGGGUUGUAAACUGCUUUUGUACGGAACGAAAAAGCUCCUUCUAAUACAGGGGGCCCAUGACGGUACCGUAAGAAUAAGCACCGGCUAACUACGUGCCAGCAGCCGCGGUAAUACGUAGGGUGCGAGCGUUAAUCGGAAUUACUGGGCGUAAAGCGUGCGCAGGCGGUUAUGUAAGACAGAUGUGAAAUCCCCGGGCUCAACCUGGGAACUGCAUUUGUGACUGCAUGGCUAGAGUACGGUAGAGGGGGAUGGAAUUCCGCGUGUAGCAGUGAAAUGCGUA